Molecule: ribosomal RNA, 1371 nt
Filed under: uncultured bacterium
Lineage: Bacteria
Description: bacterial SSU rRNA
Rfam family: Bacterial small subunit ribosomal RNA
Source: RNAcentral
GAUGAACGCUGGCGGCGUGCCUAAUACAUGCAAGUCGAGCGAACGGACGAGAAGCUUGCUUCUCUGAUGUUAGCGGCGGACGGGUGAGUAACACGUGGAUAACCUACCUAUAAGACUGGGAUAACUUCGGGAAACCGGAGCUAAUACCGGAUAAUAUUUUGAACCGCAUGGUUCAAAAGUGAAAGACGGUCUUGCUGUCACUUAUAGAUGGAUCCGCGCUGCAUUAGCUAGUUGGUAAGGUAACGGCUUACCAAGGCAACGAUGCAUAGCCGACCUGAGAGGGUGAUCGGCCACACUGGAACUGAGACACGGUCCAGACUCCUACGGGAGGCAGCAGUAGGGAAUCUUCCGCAAUGGGCGAAAGCCUGACGGAGCAACGCCGCGUGAGUGAUGAAGGUCUUCGGAUCGUAAAACUCUGUUAUUAGGGAAGAACAUAUGUGUAAGUAACUGUGCACAUCUUGACGGUACCUAAUCAGAAAGCCACGGCUAACUACGUGCCAGCAGCCGCGGUAAUACGUAGGUGGCAAGCGUUAUCCGGAAUUAUUGGGCGUAAAGCGCGCGUAGGCGGUUUUUUAGUCUGAUGUGAAAGCCCACGGCUCAACCGUGGAGGGUCAUUGGAAACUGGAAAACUUGAGUGCAGAAGAGGAAAGUGGAAUUCCCUGUGUAGCGGUGAAAUGCGCAGAGAUAUGGAGGAACCCCAGUGGCGAAGGCGACUUUCUGGUCUGUAACUGACGCUGAUGUGCGAAAGCGUGGGGAUCAAACAGGAUUAGAUACCCUGGUAGUCCACGCCGUAAACGAUGAGUGCUAAGUGUUAGGGGGGUUCCGCCCCUUAGUGCUGCAGCUAACGCAUUAAGCACUCCGCCUGGGGAGUACGACCGCAAGGUUGAAACUCAAAGGAAUUGACGGGGACCCGCACAAGCGGUGGAGCAUGUGGUUUAAUUCGAAGCAACGCGAAGAACCUUACCAAAUCUUGACAUCCUUUGACAACUCUAGAGAUAGAGCUUUCCCCUUCGGGGGACAAAGUGACAGGUGGUGCAUGGUUGUCGUCAGCUCGUGUCGUGAGAUGUUGGGUUAAGUCCCGCAACGAGCGCAACCCUUAAGCUUAGUUGCCAUCAUUAAGUUGGGCACUCUAAGUUGACUGCCGGUGACAAACCGGAGGAAGGUGGGGAUGACGUCAAAUCAUCAUGCCCCUUAUGAUUUGGGCUACACACGUGCUACAAUGGACAAUACAAAGGGCAGCGAAACCGCGAGGUCAAGCAAAUCCCAUAAAGUUGUUCUCAGUUCGGAUUGUAGUCUGCAACUCGACUACAUGAAGCUGGAAUCGCUAGUAAUCGUAGAUCAGCAUGCUACGGUGAAUACGUUCCCGGGUCU